CGAAGGGGGCUAGCGUUGUUCGGAAUUACUGGGCGUAAAGGGCGCGUAGGCGGCCUUGAUAGUUGGGCGUGAAAGGCCUGGGCUCAACCCGGGAACUGCGUUCAAUACUGUAAGGCUAGAGUGUGGGAGAGGUUGGUGGAAUUCCCAGUGUAGAGGUGAAAUUCGUAGAUAUUGGGAAGAACACCGGUGGCGAAGGCGGCCAACUGGACCACAACUGACACUGAGGCGCGAAAGCGUGGGGAGCAAACAGGAUUAGAUACCCUGGUAGUCCACGCUGUAAACUAUGUGUGCUUGACGUCGGGGGGCCUAGCCCUUCGGUGUCGGAGCUAACGCGGUAAGCACACCGCCUGGGGAGUACGGUCGCAAGAUUA
This 371-nucleotide ribosomal RNA is filed under the name uncultured organism. RNAcentral describes it as "bacterial SSU rRNA". It matches the Rfam family "Bacterial small subunit ribosomal RNA", at positions 526 to 896 of the family's 1533-position model. The record is from RNAcentral.